This 1075-nucleotide ribosomal RNA is filed under the name Streptomyces sp. NII-1008. RNAcentral describes it as "bacterial SSU rRNA". It matches the Rfam family "Bacterial small subunit ribosomal RNA", at positions 379 to 1455 of the family's 1533-position model. The record is from RNAcentral. Lineage: Bacteria; Bacillati; Actinomycetota; Actinomycetes; Kitasatosporales; Streptomycetaceae.
AAGCCUGAUGCAGCGACGCCGCGUGAGGGAUGACGGCCUUCGGGUUGUAAACCUCUUUCAGCAGGGAAGAAGCGAAAGUGACGGUACCUGCAGAAGAAGCGCCGGCUAACUACGUGCCAGCAGCCGCGGUAAUACGUAGGGCGCAAGCGUUGUCCGGAAUUAUUGGGCGUAAAGAGCUCGUAGGCGGCUUGUCACGUCGAUUGUGAAAGCUCGGGGCUUAACCCCGAGUCUGCAGUCGAUACGGGCUAGCUAGAGUGUGGUAGGGGAGAUCGGAAUUCCUGGUGUAGCGGUGAAAUGCGCAGAUAUCAGGAGGAACACCGGUGGCGAAGGCGGAUCUCUGGGCCAUUACUGACGCUGAGGAGCGAAAGCGUGGGGAGCGAACAGGAUUAGAUACCCUGGUAGUCCACGCCGUAAACGGUGGGAACUAGGUGUUGGCGACAUUCCACGUCGUCGGUGCCGCAGCUAACGCAUUAAGUUCCCCGCCUGGGGAGUACGGCCGCAAGGCUAAAACUCAAAGGAAUUGACGGGGGCCCGCACAAGCAGCGGAGCAUGUGGCUUAAUUCGACGCAACGCGAAGAACCUUACCAAGGCUUGACAUACACCGGAAACAUCCAGAGAUGGGUGCCCCCUUGUGGUCGGUGUACAGGUGGUGCAUGGCUGUCGUCAGCUCGUGUCGUGAGAUGUUGGGUUAAGUCCCGCAACGAGCGCAACCCUUGUUCUGUGUUGCCAGCAUGCCCUUCGGGGUGAUGGGGACUCACAGGAGACCGCCGGGGUCAACUCGGAGGAAGGUGGGGACGACGUCAAGUCAUCAUGCCCCUUAUGUCUUGGGCUGCACACGUGCUACAAUGGCCGRUACAAUGAGCUGCGAUACCGUAAGGUGGAGCGAAUCUCAAAAAGUCGGUCUCAGUUCGGAUUGGGGUCUGCAACUCGACCCCAUGAAGUUGGAGUUGCUAGUAAUCGCAGAUCAGCAUUGCUGCGGUGAAUACGUUCCCGGGCCUUGUACACACCGCCCGUCACGUCACGAAAGUCGGUAACACCCGAAGCCGGUGGCCCAACCCCUUGUGGGAGGGAGCUU